Molecule: ribosomal RNA, 274 nt
Filed under: uncultured bacterium
Lineage: Bacteria
Description: partial 16S ribosomal RNA
Rfam family: Bacterial small subunit ribosomal RNA
Source: RNAcentral
AUACGAAGGGGGCUAGCGUUGUUCGGAAUUACUGGGCGUAAAGCGCACGUAGGCGGAUUGAUAAGUUAGGGGUGAAAUCCCGAGGCUCAACCUCGGAACUGCCUUUAAUACUGUUAGUCUCGAGUCCGGAAGAGGUGAGUGGAAUUCCUAGUGUAGAGGUGGAAUUCGUAGAUAUUAGGAAGAACACCAGUGGCGAAGGCGGCUCACUGGUCCGGUACUGACGCUGAGGUGCGAAAGCGUGGGGAGCAAACAGGAUUAGAAACCCUUGUAGUCC